Long non-coding RNA from Cryptotermes secundus, 1030 nucleotides. RefSeq lists it as uncharacterized. Lineage: Eukaryota; Metazoa; Arthropoda; Insecta; Blattodea; Kalotermitidae. The record is from RefSeq and is a predicted model, not a curated record. The transcript has 3 exons.
GUGUCUGCCUGGUUUCAAAUUCUGCUUCAAUUGUGCCAGUUUUUUUGUGUUUUACCAUGGCUAGGAGAUAAAUGAAGGGUGCUGACAUUCACGGUUUGAUGGAAGAAGAUGUUGUUAGUGAUUUUGAGUUGUCUGACAAUGAAAAUAUCUCUUCAAACAGCAGCGGGAGUGAAAUUUCUACAUCAACUCCACCGAAACGAGACGCAGUUCACCUGAGCGCAUCAGUGAAACAAGUGACAGUGACCUUGGUGGCACAGUUGAAAUCAUUCACGGGGAGGUUUCUGAGGAGAGUAAUAUUCAGGCCCAACUCCAUUUUUGUAAUACAGAAACGCAAGGAUCAAAGUAUAUCCCAUCCGCACCUAUGACCCAAAAUCAGUAUUUUUAUCUGUUUUUCACCACAUCCCUGAACAUAAAUGUACCGGUGGUACAUAGUCCACUUAUGUUGUUUCACUUGUGCACAGUCAGUGAGAACGAGAACUGCAGUGUUUUACAAAUAUUGAUAUGAUGAAUAAACUAUUUGGUGUACAAUUUUCAAAUUUUAACAUCACAUAUAAUAUGAAUGGAGCUAUCAGAAAACAACAACAGGUGCAGUUGUAUGAUGACAAGAGGAAAGAAGACAAAUUGAUCUACGUAAGCAGCGACUAGCCCAUAGGCAUAAAGCGGCCAGACGCUGGGGAGCCUAUUCAGAACUGGGAUCCUCCCAUAGGAACACUCGGGUCUACACUGAACUGGCAUUUCUGUGCAUCCUGAUCUACUGAUGGAGCCACAUGAGCAGCCCCGUGCAACUCCCAUGUUAUUGGUUGGAAACGUGGCGGCCAUGACACCUCGGUGCAAGGCUGCUGCCAUCUAUGUUCAUUUUACAAGGAACUAAAUUUAAAAUGACCUCCUGGGCCGAGAGCACAAUCGGUAAGAAGGUAUGCUACUUUACCAACUAUUUUGAGUGCUCCCUCCUCUGCCCCCCAAUGCUUUUUUCGCUACUAGCACUGAAUACUUUUACAACCAGAUCUCUUGUACUGCAGUCUCUCUUUCC